AUGCGGGUCCUGUGCGACAGAGCGCCGUGAACCAUGUCAGGCGGGGAACCGAGCAGCAUUAAGCGGUUUUGUUUUGUGCGCCGCAGGAAGCCUGCACACC
This 100-nucleotide signal recognition particle RNA is filed under the name bacterium 1XD42-1. Its description in RNAcentral is "signal recognition particle sRNA small type". It matches the Rfam family "Bacterial small signal recognition particle RNA". From Rfam's summary of the family: The signal recognition particle (SRP) is a universally conserved ribonucleoprotein involved in the co-translational targeting of proteins to membranes. Archaeal SRP consists of a 7S RNA and homologues of the eukaryotic SRP19 and SRP54 proteins. In most bacteria, the SRP consists of a 4.5S RNA and the Ffh protein (a homologue of the eukaryotic SRP54 protein). The record is from RNAcentral. RNAcentral also lists the same sequence under 2 other names.